UACGAAGGUGGCAAGCGUUAUUCGGAUUUACUGGGCGUACAGGGAGCGUAGGCGGUUCGGUAAGCCCUUUGUGAAAUCUUCAGGCUUAACCUGGAACAGUCGGAGGGGACUGCCGGGCUAGAGGACGGGAGAGGAGCGCGGAAUUCCCGGUGUAGCGGUGAAAUGCGUAGAGAUCGGGAGGAAGGCCGGUGGCGAAGGCGGCAUCCUGGACCGGCAUUGACGCUGAGGCGCGAAAGCCAGGGGAGCAAACGGG
RNAcentral lists this ribosomal RNA (253 nucleotides) under uncultured prokaryote. RNAcentral's name for it is "partial 16S ribosomal RNA". It matches the Rfam family "Bacterial small subunit ribosomal RNA", at positions 524 to 776 of the family's 1533-position model. The record is from RNAcentral.